UUUCCGUUAGGUGAGGCUCCUAUACGAACAAUGCUGCUGCUCAGAAACAUCCAGAGAUGCCAAUGAGUCAACUGCGCUUGUCUACAAAGGCUUGCGCUAACGUAGCUGAAGAAUUUUUUCUAGGCGUAUAGUGCUAAAACUAAACGAUUGGGA
This 153-nucleotide small RNA is filed under the name uncultured Lacticaseibacillus sp. Its description in RNAcentral is "M-box riboswitch (ykoK leader)". It matches the Rfam family "M-box riboswitch aptamer (ykoK leader)". Rfam says of the family: M-box riboswitch, also know as ykoK leader is described as a metaloregulatory RNA that sense divalent metals and function as a genetic control element of genes related to divalent metal transport in bacteria. It was first reported upstream of the B.subtilis ykoK gene and genes with related functions in other bacteria. Phylogenetic analysis of the distribution of M-box RNAs across bacterial genomes revealed that M-box riboswitches are most often employed for the regulation of Mg2+ transporter genes The record is from RNAcentral. Lineage: Bacteria; Bacillati; Bacillota; Bacilli; Lactobacillales; Lactobacillaceae.